GGCGNGUGAGAGGANGAGCUCAAAGUUGGAACCUGUUUGGCCUAGCUAAACCNNNNUNNNNACUGUAGAAGUGUUUUCCAGGCAAGCCGAGUAAAUAAGUCCUUUGGAACAGGGCAUCAUAGAGGGUGAGAAUCCCGUCUUUGGCUUGAGCAUUUGCCUUUUGUGAUACGCUUUCAAAGAGUCAGGUUGUUUGGGAAUGCAGCCUAAAUUGGGUGGUAAAUCUCACCUAAAGCUAAAUAUUGGCGAGAAACCGAUAGCGAACAAGUACCGUGAGGGAAAGAUGAAAAGAACUUUGAAAAGAGAGUUAAACAGUAUGUGAAAUUGUUAAAAGGGAACCGUUUGGAGCCAGACUGGCUUGUCUGUAAUCAAUCUAGGCUUCGGCCUGGAUGCACUUGCAGGCUAUGCCUGCCAACGACAAUUUGACUUGAGGGAAAAAACUAAGGGAAAUGUGGCCCACUUGUGGGUGUUAUAGUCCCUUANAAAAUACCUUGGGUUGGAUUGAGGAACGCANCGAAUGCUUUUUGGCGAGUUUUCCAGGAAGGUUUUCUGAGGUACUACGGUAUCAAGGUUGAUCUUUUUGGUUAUACUUCUAUUCNCUUAGGUUGUUGGCUUAAUGACUCUAAAUGACCCGUCUUGAAACACG
RNAcentral lists this ribosomal RNA (643 nucleotides) under Rhizopus delemar. Its description in RNAcentral is "partial large subunit ribosomal RNA". It matches the Rfam family "Eukaryotic large subunit ribosomal RNA", at positions 88 to 663 of the family's 3401-position model. The record is from RNAcentral. Lineage: Eukaryota; Fungi; Mucoromycota; Mucoromycetes; Mucorales; Rhizopodaceae.